This 1333-nucleotide small RNA is filed under the name Oryza sativa Japonica Group (Japanese rice). RNAcentral describes it as "sRNA Os06g0715650". The record is from RNAcentral. Lineage: Eukaryota; Viridiplantae; Streptophyta; Magnoliopsida; Poales; Poaceae.
ACAACAUUCAGCGAGCAAUUCUGCUCGCUCACUGUCAAACAAACAGAUUAGGUAACUGGGACAAUCUGGUUCCAAGAAUUUCCUAACAUCGUGUGGUUCCAAGAAUGGUUUCACAAAUUUUACAAGUCCUUAUGUACAGUGAAAGAAUGUCAGAUAAAAUCUUCUACAACAAAACUGCCAGAAUGUUGGCACUGCUAAGGUUCCUGUGCAAUUUGCAUGAUAUUUUGUACAUCACUCUAUAAGUUUCUUCGUCAAUGGAAGUAAAAGGAAAUUACUUCCAAAUGUACAAUUAAACUGGCGCAGGAGAACUUUGCAGAGCUGCAAAGUAGUCCUCAUUGACAUUCUUCAGUAGAUUGUCGCUCCCUAAACUGAUACACCAGGAUAUGGACCCUCUAUCCAAAGGCCAAGGGGAUACCUGCAGAACUGCCUGUUUCUUCCUCCUUUGCUGUGUGUAACAUAAUUGUUCCGGUAAGAAUUGUUAUCAGACCACAAAAUUCAGAAGCAAUGCUACUGAAGCUUUGACCAGCCCAGUCCUUGAACAUAAUUCCACUUGCCACUAUUGUAAGAGUCGUAAACAUUACAUAAUAAAUUGGAGAAACAACAGCUAAAUCAAAGGUAUCCAGUGCCUGCAAAGUAAUUUAUCUGAGAAACCACACAGAUGAUUGCAAUGAUAACAAAAAGCCAUGUGUGUGGAUAAGCAACCUGGUUCAUUCCAUCCAGCGUAAGCUUUAUAGCAACACCAAUGGCUUUGAUGCUAACGACCUACAGAAUACCAAUGAAGAGCAGAUGCCCAGAUAUAUCAUGAUAUUUGUCUGACCAUAUCGAGGUUCAAAGAAGAGAACUAGUGCUGCCACGACUACUAAGGUUGCUACCGCAUAUUGACUAACCUGGUUGAAUGGCUAAGUUCCAGAUUUCCUCUACAGAAUUAGGCAUAUGUUCUUGAGGAGCAUGUAUAACAACAAUAACUGAACCGACAAUGCAUGAUACACAACCAAGAACACCUAGCUUCUCAAGCCGUUCCUUCAGCACGAAAUGUGCUAAAAAUGAACUGACGAUUAUGCUUAGUGCCCCAAGGGGAGUCACAAGUACGGCUGGUGCAAAGGUAUAAGCAACGAAGUUUGCUAUCUCCCCAAGCAACACUUGUGCAAUCAACAGAGAUGACAUUCAGCUGCAUUCAAAGCAAAGAGAGAGAUGACCUGCGCGGACGCCGCCCUUGCCGGCGCGGAUGAGUCCGAUCUUCUUGAGGAUGAAGCUGGCGCCGAUGAAGGCGCUGGACGCCACCGCCAGCGAAAGCCCCACCGUGUUGUCCGACACCCCCAUCCCGGCUUCCUCC